UAAAAUGGACACUUCUGCAAAGUUCGUAUCCGAUGAGGAUUCUUUCUGGUACCAAGUACACUUUGAUGAUAUAUAUUGUGUAGAUCAAGUGAUGAGUUUGGAUUCAGAUAUCUACACUCAUACUUGGACCUGCAUGGAAAGUGGUUGUGGUGAUCCGUGUGAGGGAAGAAUGUGUAAAUAUGUAGAUGUCACUGUUUUGAACGAAAGCAAUGUAGACGAAAGCAGCAUUGAAGAUGAAAAUAAAAUCAUGCGUGGUAAUUGUGGAAAUGGAGUUAAACUUUCGAUAACCAAAGAAAAUGCCAAAAAGUUGGGGUACGAUUUUUUCGAGGUUUCGGAGCUUGCUGUAUUUGGACGUCAGUUAGUUCAGAGACAAAAGGUGAACGGUGAAAUAGAGAACCUAUCCGCUGCACAAACCAUCACCCUUAAAGAUCUUAGUUCUCAUCUUGGGAUCAAGGCAAAACGGAGGUACAUAUCUGAUGAGAUUUCCUCCUGGACCCUAAAGAUAACCUUUCAAAACGUUCACUGUGUUGAUGAAGUACAAAGUUUCGACGAAAAUACCAAAACUCACAGCUGGAACUGCUUUAUAGAUGGUUGCAACACGCUGUGCCAGGGUCUCCUUUGUGAAAACACCGUAGUUUCAGUGACAAACAGGAAGCGUGACCCAGUGUGGCCAGCUAACUGCGGGGAUGGAGUCCAAAUAUUUAUAUCUCAAUCUGACUUGGACAACAAGGUUUUGGAUUUUGAUUUUUUCGGGAUCUCGGAAAUUGUGGUUAUCGGCCGACAACUAGACACAAUUCAAAAUUCCGAUUUUGAAUUUUCUUGAGAUUGAUUUUAGAAUAUUUUACAUGUGGAUAAGAAUUGAAAUUGAAUGCGCAAAAUAUUUCAUUAUUUGAAUUCGAGCGAAAAUUGUUACUCUGAUUUCCAGUCGGUAUUUUGGUGAAAAUAACACUGAUGAUACUGAUGGGUAUAUUAUUUUGUAAUACCCUAAUUUUUUACAUUGAAAUUUAAAAA
Long non-coding RNA from Bolinopsis microptera, 1011 nucleotides. RefSeq lists it as uncharacterized. The record is from RefSeq and is a predicted model, not a curated record. NCBI's taxonomy places the organism in Eukaryota, Metazoa, Ctenophora, Tentaculata, Lobata, Bolinopsidae. The transcript is spliced from 2 exons.